AGUAUAAAUAAGACACCACAAGUGGUAUGCAUUCAACGAGAAAAAACCAGUGUAAAGAAAAACAAAAAUGGAAAGCUUAAAAAGGAAGAGAUCUAUUUCAUCUGCUCCGAUCUCUUCCCAAAAGUUCUGGAUCUUCUCCGAUGAAAAUCCAGCUUGUAGAUCUCCAUUUAUCUCCCAACACCUCCGCACAAACUACAAUCUACAAGACAUAUAAGUGUGGUGUGAGAUCAUUUAUAGCAAAAUUUCUCACUGAAACUAUGAUUCAAACCAAUGACGACUUGUUCAUAUUUGAGUGGCGUGGAUCUAAAUUCAGUAGUGAUAUGAGAUGAUCUAGAGAAUUUAAGUUUACUGUCCUUUGAAAUGGCCUCAAAUUCACAUUCUCGGUCUCUGGGCAAACUUCAUCCCAACUGAAUCGAGCUUAAUCCAGAUAAGUCUUUCACCCCCUUCGAUUGGCAUUUAGUUUUCGUUGGUUCUCACCUCUGAUUUAUUGUCCUAGCAGGUUGAGCCCUAAAAGAGUUGAUACCACUGCUCAUGACAACAAAAAAACAGGUUUGGUUCCAAAGUUUACUAAAUAUUUCCUUGUUCUCGUUCUUGCAUAUCAAUUGAGUUUGUUACCCAAUUCCUUUUUGUUGAUACAUUUACUUAACUUGUCAUUGCAUAGAACAUCCUCAGCCUAGUGGAUCCACUGGCUAAACUUACGUGAUCAUCUAAAAAGUAUAACCUGUUAAUACACAUGAUGGCUACAUGGUUUUGCAUGGACAUUUGAGUUAAUAUGAACUCUUGUCCCCACAUCGGUGCUCAAUACUACUCCUAAAAUAUACUUUAGCUCGUGCUUUUAAAAACAACUUCCUUUCCUUGGGUUGGGAUAAUUUGCUCAACACUUUAGCUAUAAGAAACUAUCUUGGUAUCAAUAUUCUCUUUUUCUUAUACAAAACUCUUUUGGAACUCUUAGUAUCCUCUUAACUUAAAUGUGAAAACAUUUAUUAACUCUUACAGAAUACUUAGUUCCCUUAUAGACUUUGAGAAAUGAACUCAACUCUUAAAGAAUACUAAGUUCCCUUAUAUUACUUUGAAGUAAGAUCUUCAUCUCUUUACUCUUUACUUGACUUGAACUUUAAGUCUUUAAAACAAUAUGAAAACGUUUGUGAAAUACUUUAGAAAACUUUAUAAACUUUACUUUGACUUGACUCUGAACAUUCAUUGAAUUGAAGUAUGGAUUUAAGGUUCAUGAUCUCAUGUUUAUGGAUGAUGUCAUGAUUUUCAACUUGGAGGGUUCACGCGGGAUUAUGAGCAUGAACUAUUCAACUCAAAAACUCAAUGGAUAACAUGUAAUCGUCCAAUGAUUAGGAAUAUAGUUUCAAAAGGAAUAAGGAACUCAAUACUCAAGACAUAGAACUUAAAAAUACUACUCAUCUAAAUGAUACUCAAUUUAUGAAAUUCAUGUGGAAGUUAUUGGCAUGAACAACUCGACUCAAAGGUCUAAGUAACUAGAUGGAACUCAUGUAUAUGACUCUUCCCUUUUUCAUAUUUACUUUCUCAAAGUUUAUUUCAAGUCAAUGAUGGAUCUCAAAGAAUUCACAAUUGAACUUAAAAGAUUUCUUGAACUCUACUCUUAACUUUGUCUUGAAUGUGAAUCAUGAAUUCAAGAGUUAUGGUUCAUGAUAUGAAGGAUCUAGGUGAUAUUUUAGCCUCAUGAGUACAUUCUACUCACUCUCAUGCUCACUUACUUGAUCCUUGAAACAAGUUACUAGAAGUUAUACAAGCCUCCUCAAAAGGGCUCGAAAUUACUCUCUUAAAAGGUUCAUAAGUACUCUCAAAACUUAAUCUUGAAUUUACCUUGAAUUUGAAUUAUUGUUUCAAGGUUAUGGUUCAUGUUAUGAAUGAUUUAUAAGUUUUUAGAAGUAGUUUUAAGUGUUUAGAAUCAAAAGGAGUGAAGAUACGCUUUAAAUGAGCUCAAACGGGACAACUAAUGGCUUAGGAGUGAGGGCAGGCGGCCCUGGCACGUUUCAGGUGCGGGAAGUCAGCCCCUAACAUCGAAGGCUGAAUUUGGGCGCACUGCAAGCGAGGUGCGCCAACAUCCCCCCAGGUUGGAAAGUUUCUGAGGCAUUGAGGAAAGGAAAAGCGUUGGAGAAGUAGUUUACUGGACUUUGGUUCUUCUGUAGAGAGUGCAUCAAGUGUACCAACGACUUCGAAUUUCCCUUAGCUCUAUCCAGUCUCUAGAGUAACAGGUUGCAGGGAAGAGAGACAAGCAAGAACAUGAAGGUGGUGAGCAAGAUUUGUCUAUAUAUCUCAAAUACAUGUGAAUUACACUAGAUACAUAAAUUUGAUGUAAUUCGCUUGUAACCGGGAAUAUCGAUAUGUGAGCGAGAUAGAGAAUGGUGAGUGAUAUGUGAGGGUGGUUAUUGAGAUUUGUCUAUGUAUACCAGAUACAUGUGAACCAACUUGGAUAAAUUUUAGGAAAAUUACUUUGGAAGAAUACCUUUUGAUAAAUAAUUAUUUAUUUUAGCGAUACCUUUUGUUUAUUA
Molecule: long non-coding RNA, 2525 nt
Organism: Solanum lycopersicum (tomato)
Lineage: Eukaryota; Viridiplantae; Streptophyta; Magnoliopsida; Solanales; Solanaceae
Source: RefSeq, a predicted model, not a curated record